RNAcentral lists this non-coding RNA (148 nucleotides) under Homo sapiens (human). The record is from Rfam by way of RNAcentral. Lineage: Eukaryota; Metazoa; Chordata; Mammalia; Primates; Hominidae.
GCCAGGCAUGGUGGCGUGUGCCUGUAAUCACAGCUACCUGUGAGGCUGAGACAGGAGAAUUGCUUGAACCCGGGAGGUGGAGGUUGCAGUGAGCUGAGAUCAUGCCAUUGCACUCUAGCAUGGGUGACAGAGCAAGACUCUGUCUCAA